This 253-nucleotide ribosomal RNA is filed under the name uncultured Desulfosporosinus sp. RNAcentral describes it as "partial 16S ribosomal RNA". It matches the Rfam family "Bacterial small subunit ribosomal RNA", at positions 524 to 776 of the family's 1533-position model. Lineage: Bacteria; Bacillati; Bacillota; Clostridia; Eubacteriales; Desulfitobacteriaceae. The record is from RNAcentral.
UACGGAGGGGGUUAGCGUUGUUCGGAAUUAUUGGGCGUAAAGGGCGCGUAGGCGGAUGUUUAAGUCCGGUGUGAAAGAUCAGGGCUCAACCCUGAGAGUGCAUCGGAAACUGGGCAUCUUGAGGACAGGAGAGGAAAGUGGAAUUCCACGUGUAGCGGUGAAAUGCGUAGAUAUGUGGAGGAACACCAGUGGCGAAGGCGACUUUCUGGACUGUAACUGACGCUGAGGCGCGAAAGCGUGGGGAGCAAACAGG